Molecule: long non-coding RNA, 1728 nt
Organism: Brassica napus (rape)
Lineage: Eukaryota; Viridiplantae; Streptophyta; Magnoliopsida; Brassicales; Brassicaceae
Exons: 2
Source: RefSeq, a predicted model, not a curated record
UUUAUCGGACCAUUAUAUCCCUAUGAGUAAGCUAUAAUUUGCCUUAUUACAAUAAUGAAAUUUAUGUUUACGUGUAAAAAUCCUGCAAAAAGAUUUUGAAAAGAAUAAUAAUAAUAAAGCCAAUUAUCCCAAAGAGUAAAGUAGAUUUCUUGCAACUGAAAGUACUUUUCUUGAGCUUCUCUCUUUGGUUUCUUCUCAGUCUAAUCGAAAACAUCAUUCUUCGAUAUUCAUUUACUGAAGUUUUGAGUGAAGAAAAACCCUAGAAAUAAGUACAAUUUUUCUUUAAUAGGUUGAAAAUCUAUGGCUGUUGAGUCCUCGCCGCCUUCUGCGACAGACUUCGCUUUCUCCACGGUUUCGCUUUCAUCCGACUGACUAGGAAGUCGUAAGCUAUAACUUGAAGAUAAACGUUCUGGGUAAACCCGUACACUUCGAUGCAAUUGGGGAGGUUGAUAUCUACAAGCAUGAGCCUUGGGACUUAGAAGUUUGGUCUCUUAACUCAAUUAUGGGAAAAGAGCUUAGCUUUAUGGACUGAAUUCCUUUUCUGGAGAAGUUUCGUUAAAGAUUUACCCUUUUGCUAUGUUUAGACUAUAAAACUUUGACGUAAAUUGACUUAUUAAUUGUAUAAAUCUAGUAAUUUUUGGCAGAUUCCUUAAGAGUUUCUUGCUAUGUUUGCUUGUGUUUCAGGGAAUGAAGCUUUGUUGCUUUGUGGUUAGCCAUUACUCUGAGGUUCAUUCCAAUUCUAGUCUAUUGAUUGCUUUUUCAAUUAUAUUGAUCUAAGAACUGUUUUCUUUGUUGUUACUUCGUGUUAGUGUUAAUAACAAUUUGACUUGAAUAGCAGAUAAUUGUUACAAACAUUAAAUCAGUUUUUCGGAUAGUUUGUCAACAUUACACGGCAAUUAGAAUGUUAACCAUCUCCAGCAUUACUUGACCAUAUUGCCGUUGUAGCUGGGGUAUCAAAAUUAUUGUCUAGAUAAUAUUAUAUUUACCAUUUAGCAAUACAGAAAAGAAUUACUUUUCAGGAACAAAUUCCAUCAAUAUAGCCCUGCUUAAUUGUUAAUUGCAUAUUUUGUCUGAAAAUAAGAACAUGUUUUUCGUUUCGCAAAAUGUUGUUGAAGCUUUUGAUGAAAUGGAUAGUCUCGUUAGAAUGCAUCCUUGUCUCUUUCAAUCUCCAUUAGCUACAAACAUUCUUUAAAACACUUUUAAAAGGCUCACCUAUGAUCUCUGCACAAAGAAUGUGGUUUCUUUGUAUUAAGUUCUUGAAAACGAUAGGUGUAGCUUAUGCUUCAGCUGUUUAGUUAUCUCGAGAGUGGGUGUUGUGAUUUGCUCGGAGAUCAUGGUCUCAACCAUUUUCUUCUGGUAUGUUGAAUCUUUUAAGCUAGCUCAUCAAGAGAUUGCAAUGUGUGAAUUAUCGUUUUUUUGUGUUAGAUACCAUCACCACAUAGAGACGAAGAUGAUCAAGAAAGGAAUGUGUAUUUUUAUAACACGGAGUGUGUCUUUAAAGGCAUACAUUAUUAGCUCAAAAGUAGUAACUGAGGAAGAGCUUUAAAUCACUCUUCGAGCUGCAAAGGAAGGAAUAUAUUCGCUCCAACGGAAUUUAGAUGCAUCAAGCGAUUUGUAUUUAUGUGUUAAAAUUUUGAUUAAUUUUCUAAAAAGUUGUUUAGCGCGAUAAACAAAUAGUUGAAAGUCACUUACAGAUUUAUUCUAGACAAUAAAAGUUUUAGCCAGAUA